Long non-coding RNA from Xenopus tropicalis (tropical clawed frog), 1794 nucleotides. RefSeq lists it as uncharacterized. NCBI's taxonomy places the organism in Eukaryota, Metazoa, Chordata, Amphibia, Anura, Pipidae. The record is from RefSeq and is a predicted model, not a curated record. The transcript has 3 exons.
AUUACAAUGAUAGGUAUAUUAGGGGUUUCUGUUGUGUGUAGGGCUCUUUAAGAAAUUUUGGUUCCCCUUUAAAUACUCCAGGAAGCUAAAUUAGGGUACAGUUCAGCCUCUCCUUUACCCUGUAAUAACUUACAGGAAGUGUACUAAUAUGGCAUAAAAUAUUGAUGACAUUGUAACACAUGACUGUCGGUGAGUAGGUGCGGCACCAUGCAUUUAUCAUAAGAUAAUUCACUUGUUCAUACGGAAGUAUGAAAGAUAAUACAUGGAUGACUGCUGGAAGGAACAUUAUUAGUCUGAAGGUCCUGCACUGAAUGCAUCAGUUUUCUUUCUUGGAAGAGGCAGUACUGGCAGUUACACUUCAGUUUCCUGUGCUCUUGAAGCCUUUACAAUGUUCACUGCAAAUGUGAGUAGGUGGAACCUCUUGGUUAAGUAAGAAUGUGUUGCGAAAUCUUUGGCUCAUGUGUUUCUAACCAAGCUCCCUGCAGUCACGGAUUGGAGAGCUGGAGUUUAUAAAAGUACGGCAGAGCCCUGAGAACCCUUCUCUGUGAAACUAGGAUACAGUGCUGGGAGCGCAGGAGAUGAUGGAGGGCAUAACUUUCCUCUCUGCAAAACAAAUAUGGAUUUUUUUUAUACCUACUGGUUUGAUAUACUGAUCACUCAUUCUUGUAUACUAUAAAUUAAUAUAUGUAUAUUCUUUUUAAUUAACGUUGUAUUUCUUAGUAAAGCCAAACAUGCUUCUAAAAUCACAGAACAAUAUAUUAAGGGAGUGUCUAAAAUGUUUAAAAUAUUUUCCUUGGGAUGGAAGACAACAUCAUUGCGAUGAGAAUGAAGGACUCCAACCAAAUUUUCGAUUCAUACUGUGUGUGAUCUCAGAAAUGGCUUGGGUUUUUAUGGGACUCUUUUGAAUUUAAUUCACUUUUGGACUUGUUUUCUACAGAUGAUGAUGAAGUGACCAAGUUUUGAAGAAUCAGAUAGGAUCUAAUUGUGGUUUGCCUCUUUGAGGAGGAGACAGAGUAAAGAAAGAGCUGCGGGGCUCCUCAGGGAAUCAUUUGUUGCACAUGUUCAGCAGUCAAGCACUUUCAUUUCUCAUCAGCACCAAUGAGAUUUCCCCAGUGGUAAAGUGAAAGAAGUCAGCCCAAGAUUCCUACAGAUAACAAACUCCCUCAUGGAGUGAUGGCUGGGCAGAGGUUAUUUUGCCAAUAAGUGAGUAUGUGCUAUAGCUUCAAGGCUUUUGACUUUAAAAGAAAAGAAUUAAAGGUGGACUCCUUAUUGAAAAUGUCAGUGAAGAAAUCGUCAUGGUAAAAAGCUGUGGGAAAACUGCUUUGAGGGAAAGGCUCCAGACAUCUUUAAAGAAAACCCACUCCACAUUCUUGUCACUCCUGUUUAGAGUAAAUACCAUACAUUAGAUUGCCUCCAUAAGGACAGCAUCCCCCUUAAGCACUCUAUGUAGGUCAGGAAAUUUGGAUCAUUAUUUCUAACAGUAAGGGGUGAAGGGUCUGAAUUUGAAGGGCUCAAACUGUGCUGCAGUAGGAUGUGGAGGACCCCAGUUAGUUGUAUUUGCAACAACAAGUCUCUAUUAAGUGACAACACAGAACAGAUCUGUGUUGUAUAUUAUUUGUAGUAGUUCUGAUAGCCUCACACUAAAGUCACAUUGUGAGUAACAGAAAUACAAUGAAUUUCUGUGUUCCGGGUAUAGUAGUGUUAAGUGCGGGUAGGUAUAUCUGUUUCCAAAUAUUGUUUGAAAGAUACCAGAGAUACUAUAACUAUAUAUAUAUAUAUAUAUAUGUUAUACAU